CGCACGUCGUCUAAGACCAAGUUAAGGAAUUUACAACAGGGAAUUAGCUUUUGAGGUUGAAUGUGAACGAGUAGGCGAAGGUGUUGGGAAAUGACUAUUAAUAAGUAGUUAGGUAGCCCAAAGUAGUAUGUCUUCAUACAUACUAUUUUGUCUUGGACUCUUCUGCUGCAAUAGAACUAUGCUCUAGGAAUUUAUGAAUUUAGUCUUGAUACUCUGAUUUUCUUUGGACUAUGUACCCAUUCGCCGUCGAAACUAUUACCUCGAGUUGAUUUAUUGCUCUUAUGUUUA
Molecule: long non-coding RNA, 288 nt
Organism: Salvia splendens (bonfire salvia)
Lineage: Eukaryota; Viridiplantae; Streptophyta; Magnoliopsida; Lamiales; Lamiaceae
Exons: 2
Source: RefSeq, a predicted model, not a curated record